Non-coding RNA from Salmo salar (Atlantic salmon), 54 nucleotides. The record is from Rfam. Lineage: Eukaryota; Metazoa; Chordata; Actinopteri; Salmoniformes; Salmonidae.
UGCACGCAAUUCUGUAAGUCGCUUUGGAUAAACGCGUCUGCUAAAUGGCAUAUA